This 805-nucleotide ribosomal RNA is filed under the name uncultured bacterium. RNAcentral's name for it is "bacterial SSU rRNA". It matches the Rfam family "Bacterial small subunit ribosomal RNA", at positions 144 to 944 of the family's 1533-position model. The record is from RNAcentral.
UAACCUGAGGAAACUCAGGCUAAUACCGCAUACGUCCUACGGGAGAAAGCAGGGGCUCUUCGGACCUUGCGCUAUCGGAUGAGCUUAUGUCGGAUUAGCUGGUUGGUGAGGUAAUAGCUCACCAAGGCGACGAUCCGUAGCUGGUCUGAGAGGAUGAUCAGCCACAUCGGGACUGAGACACGGCCCGAACUCCUACGGGAGGCAGCAGUGGGGAAUAUUGGACAAUGGGGGCAACCCUGAUCCAGCCAUGCCGCGUGUGUGAAGAAGGCCCUCGGGUUGUAAAGCACUUUCAGUGAGGAAGAAUGCUUGUCGGUUAAUACCCGGCAAGGGAGACAUCACUCACAGAAGAAGCACCGGCUAACUCCGUGCCAGCAGCCGCGGUAAUACGGAGGGUGCGAGCGUUAAUCGGAAUUACUGGGCGUAAAGCGCGCGUAGGCGGCUUGAUAAGCCGGUUGUGAAAGCCCCGGGCUCAACCUGGGAAUGGCAUCCGGAACUGUCAGGCUAGAGUGCAGGAGAGGAAGGUAGAAUUCCCGGUGUAGCGGUGAAAUGCGUAGAGAUCGGGAGGAAUACCAGUGGCGAAGGCGGCCUUCUGGACUGACACUGACGCUGAGGUGCGAAAGCGUGGGUAGCAAACAGGAUUAGAUACCCUGGUAGUCCACGCCGUAAACGAUGUCGACUAGCCGUUGGGGUCCUUGAGACCUUUGUGGCGCAGUUAACGCACUAAGUCGACCGCCUGGGGAGUACGGCCGCAAGGUUAAAACUCAAAUGAAUUGACGGGGGCCCGCACAAGCGGUGGAGCAUGUGG